Molecule: long non-coding RNA, 1707 nt
Organism: Homo sapiens (human)
Lineage: Eukaryota; Metazoa; Chordata; Mammalia; Primates; Hominidae
Gene: RNASEH2B-AS1
Product: RNASEH2B antisense RNA 1
Source: Ensembl
CUGCUGGUCAAUGCUAACAGCUGGCUCUCAGGGAAAAAAGAAAAACCAUCUGUGGCAUCUGCCAAUUUCUGUGGUGUAAAUACUCUGAGCUCUGCCAAUUUCAAGCCAUCCAUCUGACAUUGCUGAACCCAAAGUUGGCAAGGGAUGUGCACAAUUGCCUUUUGCAAGCAAGCUUCUGCAAAAGACUUGAGACAGCUCACAAUGAAGUACUCUGUAUUAGGCAGGGUAAUAUUGAUUGCAAGUGACAGAAACCCAAUCAGAAACUCACUGGAGUCAUGAGGAACACUUAUUGGCUCAGAGUAAAGGCAAAAUAGACCUUCAGAGAAAUAAAGUCUGGGAAAUUGACUAGAUCCUCACUGAAAGAACUACUAAAGGAUGUACUUAUGGAAGAAGAAAAUUACAAAGUGAAAGAACUGGGAUGCAAGAAGUAAUGACUGGCUGGAGCCUCUCCAGGCAGCGCAGAGUCAAGGCAGGAACCAGCCCUGGACAGGACACCAUCCCAUUGCAGGAUGCACUGUCAUACACCCAUACUCACCCAGACCGGGACACUUCAGACACGCCAACUCACCUAAUGCGCGGCUCUCUGGGAGGGCUGCUCCUGUGCCAUGAGGAGUAAGGGAGAUGGCUCACAGCUGGUCUCUACACAUGUUAGCUAUUUGCCUUAUUACACUCACAGAUAGGGCAGCUUAGAGUGCAGUUGCCUUGUCACUUUGUUGAUUGCUUCCUUUGAUGAACAAGAAUUGUUUAAAUUUGAUAUAAUCCCAUUCGUCUAUUUUAUCUUUUUUUGCCUGUGCUAUUGGUGUUGUAUUCAAGAAAUCAUUGCCAAGUCCAAUGUCAUGGAGAUUUUCCCCUAGGUUUUCUUCUAGGGGUUUUAUAGUUUUGGGUUUUUCAUUUGGUCUUUAAUCCAUUUUGAGCUAGCUUUUGUGUAUGGUAUAAGAGAAGGGUCCAACUUUAUUCUUUUGCAUGUGGCUAUUCAAUUUUCCCAACACUAUUUGUUGAAGAGGCUGCUCUUCUCUCAUUAAGUGGUGUUGGUAUCCUUGUUGAAGAUCACUUGACCAUAUAUGUGAGGGUUUAUUUCUGAGUUCUCACCUCUGUUCCAUUGGUCUGCAUAUCUUUCUUUAUCCCAGUAUGACACUGUUUUGAUUACUGUAGUUUUGUAAUAUAUUUUGAAAUCAGAAAGUAUGUAUCCUCCAACUUUGUUCUUUUUCCAAAUCGUUUUGGCUAUUCAGGGUACCUUGAGAUUCCAUAUGGAUUUUAGGAUAAAUUUUUCUGUUUCUAAAAAAAAUGCCAUUGGAAUUUUGAUAGAAAUUGCAUUAAAUCUGUAAUCACUUUGGGUGGUAUGGACAUAUUAACAAUAUUAAGUCUUCCAGUCCAUGAACAUGAGGUAUUUUUCAAUUUAUUCACAUCUUCUUAAUUUCUUUCAGCAAUGUUUUAUAAUUUUUAGUGUAUGCGUCUUUCACAUUUUUGUUUAGGUUUAUUCCUAAAUGUGUUAUUUAUUUUGAUGCUAGUAUAAGCAAAAUUGUUUCCUUAAUUUUCUUUUCAGAUUGUUCAUUGUUAAUAUACAGAAACCACUGUUUCUUCACAGUAUUAAAGACAUAUGUGUCACAUAAACACAGAACCAUCAGCUCAAGGUUUUUUAUAGAUUAUUGUAGUUUUUAUUUUAUAAGAUAAUGUUGCAAUGUAUAACAUUAAAAUUUAAAGUGUGCA